UACGGGGGGAGCAAGCGUUGUUCGGAUUUACUGGGCGUAAAGGGCGCGUAGGCGGUCAGCACAAGUCAGUUGGGAAAUCUCCGGGCUUAACUCGGAAAGGUCAACUGAUACUGUGCGACUAGAGUGCAGAAGGGGCAACUGGAAUUCUCGGUGUAGCGGUGAAAUGCGUAGAUAUCGAGAGGAACACCUGCGGCGAAGGCGGGUUGCUGGGCUGACACUGACGCUGAGUGAGCGAAAGCCAGGGGAGCAAACGGG
This 255-nucleotide ribosomal RNA is filed under the name uncultured bacterium. RNAcentral's name for it is "partial 16S ribosomal RNA". It matches the Rfam family "Bacterial small subunit ribosomal RNA", at positions 524 to 776 of the family's 1533-position model. The record is from RNAcentral.